RNAcentral lists this ribosomal RNA (1303 nucleotides) under Vibrio sp. RW40. RNAcentral's name for it is "bacterial SSU rRNA". It matches the Rfam family "Bacterial small subunit ribosomal RNA", at positions 23 to 1305 of the family's 1533-position model. The record is from RNAcentral. Lineage: Bacteria; Pseudomonadati; Pseudomonadota; Gammaproteobacteria; Vibrionales; Vibrionaceae.
CUCAGAUUGAACGCUGGCGGCAGGCCUAACACAUGCAAGUCGAGCGGAAACGAGUUAUCUGAACCUUCGGGGAACGAUAACGGCGUCGAGCGGCGGACGGGUGAGUAAUGCCUAGGAAAUUGCCCUGAUGUGGGGGAUAACCAUUGGAAACGAUGGCUAAUACCGCAUAAUGCCUACGGGCCAAAGAGGGGGACCUUCGGGCCUCUCGCGUCAGGAUAUGCCUAGGUGGGAUUAGCUAGUUGGUGAGGUAAUGGCUCACCAAGGCGACGAUCCCUAGCUGGUCUGAGAGGAUGAUCAGCCACACUGGAACUGAGACACGGUCCAGACUCCUACGGGAGGCAGCAGUGGGGAAUAUUGCACAAUGGGCGCAAGCCUGAUGCAGCCAUGCCGCGUGUGUGAAGAAGGCCUUCGGGUUGUAAAGCACUUUCAGUCGUGAGGAAGGUGGUGUAGUUAAUAGCUGCAUUAUUUGACGUUAGCGACAGAAGAAGCACCGGCUAACUCCGUGCCAGCAGCCGCGGUAAUACGGAGGGUGCGAGCGUUAAUCGGAAUUACUGGGCGUAAAGCGCAUGCAGGUGGUUUGUUAAGUCAGAUGUGAAAGCCCGGGGCUCAACCUCGGAAUAGCAUUUGAAACUGGCAGACUAGAGUACUGUAGAGGGGGGUAGAAUUUCAGGUGUAGCGGUGAAAUGCGUAGAGAUCUGAAGGAAUACCGGUGGCGAAGGCGGCCCCCUGGACAGAUACUGACACUCAGAUGCGAAAGCGUGGGGAGCAAACAGGAUUAGAUACCCUGGUAGUCCACGCCGUAAACGAUGUCUACUUGGAGGUUGUGGCCUUGAGCCGUGGCUUUCGGAGCUAACGCGUUAAGUAGACCGCCUGGGGAGUACGGUCGCAAGAUUAAAACUCAAAUGAAUUGACGGGGGCCCGCACAAGCGGUGGAGCAUGUGGUUUAAUUCGAUGCAACGCGAAGAACCUUACCUACUCUUGACAUCCAGAGAACUUUCCAGAGAUGGAUUGGUGCCUUCGGGAACUCUGAGACAGGUGCUGCAUGGCUGUCGUCAGCUCGUGUUGUGAAAUGUUGGGUUAAGUCCCGCAACGAGCGCAACCCUUAUCCUUGUUUGCCAGCGAGUAAUGUCGGGAACUCCAGGGAGACUGCCGGUGAUAAACCGGAGGAAGGUGGGGACGACGUCAAGUCAUCAUGGCCCUUACGAGUAGGGCUACACACGUGCUACAAUGGCGCAUACAGAGGGCAGCAAGCUAGCGAUAGUGAGCGAAUCCCAAAAAGUGCGUCGUAGUCCGGAUUGGAGUC